This 445-nucleotide ribosomal RNA is filed under the name uncultured bacterium. RNAcentral describes it as "bacterial SSU rRNA". It matches the Rfam family "Bacterial small subunit ribosomal RNA", at positions 329 to 792 of the family's 1533-position model. The record is from RNAcentral.
UGCCAGACUCCUACGGGAGGCAGCAGUGGGGAAUAUUGCACAAUGGGGGAAACCCUGAAGCAGCAACGCCGCGUGGAGGAUGAAGAUUUUCGGAUUGUAAACUCCUUUUGUUAGAGAAGAUAAUGACGGUAUCUAACGAAUAAGCACCGGCUAACUCCGUGCCAGCAGCCGCGGUAAUACGGAGGAUGCGAGCGUUAUCCGGAUUUAUUGGGUUUAAAGGGUGCGUAGGCGGACUGUUAAGUCAGCGGUAAAAGCCCGGGGCUCAACCCCGGCGAGCCGUUGAAACUGGCUGUCUUGAGAUGUCGAGAGGUAUGCGGAAUGCGCAGUGUAGCGGUGAAAUGCUUAGAUAUUGCGCAGAACUCCGAUUGCGAAGGCAGCAUACCGGCGGCGAUCUGACGCUGAGGCACGAAAGCGUGGGUAUCGAACAGGAUUAGAUACCCCCGUA